Humulus lupulus (European hop) is the source of this 382-nucleotide long non-coding RNA. RefSeq lists it as uncharacterized. The record is from RefSeq and is a predicted model, not a curated record. Lineage: Eukaryota; Viridiplantae; Streptophyta; Magnoliopsida; Rosales; Cannabaceae. The transcript is spliced from 2 exons.
AGCAAGGUUUAAAGCAUGGUUUUAUAUGAAGAGUUAUUUGCAUUACGUUGAUAAUAAUUUAUUAUUAUCAUUUAUAUAGUUUCUGGUAUUAUUAAUAUACACUAUCAAUAGUGUAUAUUUAUGAUUUUGAUAGAAUUUAAUAAAUGAUGUGCCUUGAAUAGGAUUUGUAUGGAUUUGAUUGAUUGACUCUUGGUGAGGAAUUUUAAAAUAAGCUAAGGACCUAAGGUGUGGCUUUAGCUGUUGAGCAACUUGUGGAGCACGGACUCAGUAGCAAUGCAAUAAUGGUUUUAGAGUUUUCAUAUGGCUGCCUUAAAUUUAAAGUAUUCAUACGUGUAAUAAUUUCUUCUAAUAAGUUUAUAUAAAAGUUUUAAAAUUUUCUGUA